AUUGAACGCUGGCGGCAGGCCUAACACAUGCAAGUCGAGCGGUAGAGAGGUGCUUGCACCUCUUGAGAGCGGCGGACGGGUGAGUAAUGCCUAGGAAUCUGCCUGGUAGUGGGGGAUAACGCUCGGAAACGGACGCUAAUACCGCAUACGUCCUACGGGAGAAAGCAGUGGACCUUCGGGCCGUUGUCGCUAUCAGAUGA
RNAcentral lists this ribosomal RNA (200 nucleotides) under uncultured bacterium. RNAcentral's name for it is "partial 16S ribosomal RNA". It matches the Rfam family "Bacterial small subunit ribosomal RNA", at positions 30 to 228 of the family's 1533-position model. The record is from RNAcentral.